Long non-coding RNA from Cairina moschata (Muscovy duck), 3992 nucleotides. The record is from Ensembl. NCBI's taxonomy places the organism in Eukaryota, Metazoa, Chordata, Aves, Anseriformes, Anatidae.
AUGCUUGUCCCCAGUUGCCCCACUGGGGAACCCCGCUCCCGGCACUGGGGCUUCUGUAGGGCUCGGCUUUGUCCCUGCUGUGCCCCCCUCCCCCCCAGCACUGGGGGGGUUCCCAGGGGGCCUGGCUCCAUCCCUGCUGGAGCCCGUCUGCCCUCUCCACGCAGAGGACUUCAGGCAGCACCCACAAAGCUUCCUGCACCUUGCGCAUCACCCGCGGACACCCGGCGGUGCCAGGAGCCUUCUCCGGGACUCAACCACGUCCCCUCCCUGUCCCCAUCACCUCUGGCUUUCCCGAUGGCCUUGGGGCUCCACCGGGAUGGUGGCAGCUGGCCCGGCAGGGGACCGAGGCGGUGGCUGGCUGGGGACGGUGCCCAUUGUGCAGAGCCAGCAAGGCGUGGUUGUGCAGCCAAGCGAGCAGACGUGCGGGGCGCUGGGCUCGGCAGACCCCAGCACCAGGCCCAGGAGCUGCCUCUGAUCCCAGGCUGUGGCAGAGCUGGGGCUGGUUUUGGAGGUGUAAUGGGGCUGGACAGGCUGUGCCCUGCUGGCUCUUCCACGGAGGGAUGCUCGCUGCGCUGCUCCCUGGACCAAGCUCCCUGGUGUCAGCUCCAGCAGCCCAAAAGUCACAGUGUGCAGCAGAGCUGAGGCUCACGUGAGGUUUUCUGCCUGUCCUUAAGCGUUUACAGACACCAGCUUGCGGUGUGCCUCAGUUUCCCCAUCUCUGUGGCAGGCAGAGGUGUGCUGCCAGCCCUCGGGGCCCCUUGAGAGCACGAACAGCGUUGGAGCCAUGCACCAGGAUCCAGGACCCCGGUGUCCUCCUCAUGCUGCCCACCACAAGGCCACCCACUGCCUGACUCAGUUUCCCUUCUUCUGGGAGGAAGAUGCUCUCCUCGACGUGCCGGUAUUCCCUGCCGCUAUUCCUGCUCGGCAUCGCCGGUGGGAAGCCAGCUCCGGUCGGCGUGCAGAGGGUUGCAUCCACACCCCUUUUGGAACCACAUGAGAGCUAUCUCGGUGAUCGAUCUGGAUUCGCAGAUGCUUUGCACCAGUGGUGGAAAGAGCACGGUGCAGUGGUGUAAAGGCACGGCCGGUGGUGUAAAGGCAGGGCUGUACAGGCAUUUAACAACCAGGUGGAGCAGUUCAGGAGCUGGCCGGGCUGCUCCCGGUGACCCCAUGGGGUUUGGGUUCUGGGUUUGGGUGGGCGCCCUCCAACCUGCCCCAGGGCAAAGCAGCCCCGGGCUGGUUCAAAUCCUCCUUGGCAGGGAUGAGGGGAGUGGAGCUGCCAGGCUGUGUCCCUCGGGAAGAGCUGCCUGCUGCCAGCAAAUGUCCUCUCUGGCUCUUGGAAGCUCGUGGUCUCGGGGACGGAGUGGAUGAGGUGAAGGUCGGUGCCCCGGUGCAUGGUUUUGACUGGGAAGAGGAGUGGGUUUGCCUCUCGGGCUUCUCCCUGGAGCUGUNUGCAGAGGGUUGCAUCCACACCCCUUUUGGAACCACAUGAGAGCUAUCUCGGUGAUCGAUCUGGAUUCGCAGAUGCUUUGCACCAGUGGUGGAAAGAGCACGGUGCAGUGGUGUAAAGGCACGGCCGGUGGUGUAAAGGCAGGGCUGUACAGGCAUUUAACAACCAGGUGGAGCAGUUCAGGAGCUGGCCGGGCUGCUCCCGGUGACCCCAUGGGGUUUGGGUUCUGGGUUUGGGUGGGCGCCCUCCAACCUGCCCCAGGGCAAAGCAGCCCCGGGCUGGUUCAAAUCCUCCUUGGCAGGGAUGAGGGGAGUGGAGCUGCCAGGCUGUGUCCCUCGGGAAGAGCUGCCUGCUGCCAGCAAAUGUCCUCUCUGGCUCUUGGAAGCUCGUGGUCUCGGGGACGGAGUGGAUGAGGUGAAGGUCGGUGCCCCGGUGCAUGGUUUUGACUGGGAAGAGGAGUGGGUUUGCCUCUCGGGCUUCUCCCUGGAGCUGUUUAAGGCGAGAAAGGUUUCUCGUGGAGGAGCUCUUGGGUCUUUCUGGGGGCAAGCAGUAGUUGAGGUUGGAGAUCUGCGGACUCAAAGGCAGGGGAGAUGGCGGCAGCUUCUUUCUGACCGCCCGCAGGAUGUGCGCCCCGCAGCCCCAGCCGAGCUCUCUCUGCUUUGAAGCCCGAGCUGUGCUUCAGCAGCAUCCCGAGAAGCCUUCCAGUCUGGACUUGAAGAUGUCAAGAGAUGGCAAAUCCUCUCCUCCCCUGGGGAGUUUGUUCUAAUGGUUAAUCACCUCGCUAUUAAAAAUGUGAGUUUUCCUCCACAUUUGCCUGUGUCUGGCUCUUGCUCCCAGCCCUCGGCGGUUGCUCUGCUGGCUCGCAGAGGCCGGGUAAGGUGAAGCCGCUUCUCCUCCCGCAGACGAGGCAACCAUUUCCAGCUCCACCUGAGCCCCCGUGCUGCCGAACCGGCUCCUCGCUCUGCCAGGCAAACUCUUCUUUUUGAACACCACCAACGAUAAAAAAAAAAAUAAAAAAAAAUCCCUUUCUUCCCCGCCGGAGCGGCCAAGCCCCUCGCUCCUCCAGCUGCCGUGAGAAACGCCGCGCUGCUUUGUACUUGGAGCCGGGCACCACGGCAGCUGCCUCCGCCUUCUCCGGGGACAUCGCGAGGCGCCAGGGAAAGCUGGAAGAGUCCCCAGGGUGCUCAGGCUGCCCGGGGGCCGUGGAGGUGCUGGGGGUGCCGGGCUUGGUGCCGCGCCCCUGGGGAAGCCGCUGCUUGGGGCAGGAGGAAGAGGAGCUCCGCCGCGAGCCCGUAGCCUCUGCUUGUGAUCGAAGGGCCUGGGCCGUUCCCGUGGCUAAUUGCCCGCUCCCGUUAGAAAUGCCUGCCUGGAUUUUGUCCUGGUUCGUUGAGGGGUGGUCCUGUGAGGGGUUUUUGGGGCAUUGCUGAACCCGCGGGGCUGUUGGAGGGCUGCGGUCCCUCAGGUCACGGGGAUGCGCCGAAAUCCCCUCCUGAUUUUGGCUGAGUUUUGAGAGACUGAGUCUGGAGGGGGCCAGGACCCCGAGGGGAUGCUGGAGGGGGCUCUGUCCCUUCUGUAGGGUCACGGUGAGGGGCAGCAGGGAGGUGGCAGCCGGCUGCAUGAUACCGGAGAGUGGGGCUGGGGGCACGACGGGGGCGCAGAGGGCGAGGGGGCCGCGCCGUUCCCUCUGCUGGGGCGUUCUGCAGCGCGAUGCCACCAGAGCUGCCUGAUGCCACCACGGCUCUGCAGGGGCUCUCGGCACCAGUGACACCCUCGGUGAGCCCCGUCCCUCACUGGUGGCCGGGCAGUGACAUGGGGACAAGGACAUCGGCUCGUGGUGGACGCGUGCUGGGGCGCAGGAUGCUCGUGGUCCUCUUCGCCGUGACAAUCCGGGGGGCGAUGCGUCCCCAGGGGAGGGGACACCGCUCCUCCUGGCUGCUUCUGGGGCCAGAGAUGCUUCUCUGCUCAUCCCCCUUCCCUUUUUUUUCCCCCCCAGCUCGGAGCCUCGGCGCGGACGCCUGACCCGUGAGCGGCCCCCAUGCCGCGGCGGCCGCCAGCUGGAUGCCGUCCCCGCCGCCCGCUGAGGAUGCCCCGAGCGCCCCGGUGAGCGCCGGCACGGGGGACAGCGCCCGGCUCCAACCCCAGCGCCCCACCGGUGAGUCCCCGAGCUGUCCCCUGAGAUCCCUGGGGACCGAGCUGUCCCCUCCUCGAGCCCCUUCGUGGCGCUAAUGAAUAGGGUCGGGGGGAACAGCCCAGCCCUGGCCCCCCUGCGCCGAGCCGCCGGCCCUCGCAUUGUUCCUGCCAGAAACCCGAUGCCGGCCUCCCAACAAAGCCCAGAAGAAGCAGGGGGGGUGGAGGGGGGGCUGCUGGUAAGGGGGCCGGGGGGGUCCCUUUCUCCCUGCCCCUUCCCCCAUCGCUCGCUGGGGACGCCGGGACGAGCUCCCGGCCCCGUUGCCAUCUCCUAGACAACCGGCGUGGGGGGGCUUUUGUCUCCAUAGUGAUAAAUGUGCGAGCAUCCAGCAUCUGGGACAAAAGGGUGUCCCCCCCC